RNAcentral lists this ribosomal RNA (473 nucleotides) under uncultured bacterium. RNAcentral's name for it is "bacterial SSU rRNA". It matches the Rfam family "Bacterial small subunit ribosomal RNA", at positions 335 to 800 of the family's 1533-position model. The record is from RNAcentral.
ACUCCUACGGGAGGCAGCAGUGGGGAAUAUUGCACAAUGGGCGCAAGCCUGAUGCAGCCAUGCCGCGUGUAUGAAGAAGGCCUUCGGGUUGUAAAGUACUUUCAGCCGUGAGGAAGGUGGGUAUGUUAAUAGCAUACUCAUUUGACGUUAGCUGCAGAAGAAGCACCGGCUAACUCCGUGCCAGCAGCCGCGGUAAUACGGAGGGUGCGAGCGUUAAUCGGAAUUACUGGGCGUAAAGCGCAUGCAGGUGGUUUGUUAAGUCAGAUGUGAAAGCCCGGGGCUCAACCUCGGAAUUGCAUUUGAAACUGGCAAACUAGAGUACUGUAGAGGGGGGUAGAAUUUCAGGUGUAGCGGUGAAAUGCGUAGAGAUCUGAAGGAAUACCGGUGGCGAAGGCGGCCCCCUGGACAGAUACUGACACUCAGAUGCGAAAGCGUGGGGAGCAAACAGGAUUAGAUACCCUGAUAGGCUCUGC